GAUGCAGGAGUGAAGCAGCUGUGUGGUUUUCUGAAGAACCCAGAAUGUAAACUACAGACUCUGGGUUUGGUAAACUGCAGUCUGACAAAGAUCAGCUGUUCAUAUUUGGCUGCAGCUUUGCAGUCCAACCCCUGCCAUCUGACAGGUCUGCAGCUUCUGGAAAACAACCUGCAGGAUUCAGACGUGGUGCAGCUCUCUGCCCUUGUGGCGAGUCCACACUGUAGUCUGAAGACUCUGGAGUGGAGUCUCCAUGUGGAAGCUGGAUUCCAUCUGAGAUCCUACUUCUUUCACUCAGUUAGUGCUCAGAGUCCACCAUCAUCCCCGUCUGUUCCUCUAGAGCCAACCUAAAUGAGCUGUGGGCCACUGCUGGCACUGUCAUCUCCUGUGAGGGCCA
This is a long non-coding RNA of Pelmatolapia mariae (spotted tilapia), 394 nucleotides long. RefSeq lists it as uncharacterized. The transcript has 3 exons. NCBI's taxonomy places the organism in Eukaryota, Metazoa, Chordata, Actinopteri, Cichliformes, Cichlidae. The record is from RefSeq and is a predicted model, not a curated record.